AGGGAGUCAUUCUCCGAUUUAAUAACAGAUCUCAUAACUGUGAACAAUUCAAUUAAUCACUUUCUCUCUCCCUCCUCCUCUCUCUGUAACUCUGACAUGCUAACUUUCUCCUCUACCACUGAGAGCCAUUCUCGCCUGAACGGAGUGUUAUUGAGCUACUUGAACCUUGUCUGCUCUCACUCUCACGGUCUCUCUCUGUCGCUCUCUCUCUCUCUCACAUUCAUUUCAUCGCUCUCCGAUGUUCUCGCCAUCUCUCUCUCUCUAUUUCUCUCUCUCUCAGUCGAGACACAACAGUAAAGUUGUGUGCCUGUUCCUACGGCAACAGAGCAGCAGAAUCUCGGAGGUCACACUUGUGGAGUCAGCUGUCUGUCUGCCCCUCCGCCUGAGUACUGUAGGAGACUAGGCCAGUGUGUAAAGUCCAUCUAUACCUUUAACGUGGCGAUGGCUACAUCAUCACUGGAUCAGAUGGGGGUAAAGUACAAACCUGGAGCUGGCAAACCAUGGACAACUGUCAAUCAAUCAUACCAAAUGAGGAGGCUGUGACCUCCCUA
Molecule: non-coding RNA, 551 nt
Organism: Oncorhynchus mykiss (rainbow trout)
Lineage: Eukaryota; Metazoa; Chordata; Actinopteri; Salmoniformes; Salmonidae
Source: RefSeq, a predicted model, not a curated record